This 657-nucleotide ribosomal RNA is filed under the name Agroathelia rolfsii. Its description in RNAcentral is "eukaryotic LSU rRNA". It matches the Rfam family "Eukaryotic large subunit ribosomal RNA", at positions 1 to 638 of the family's 3401-position model. The record is from RNAcentral. Lineage: Eukaryota; Fungi; Basidiomycota; Agaricomycetes; Amylocorticiales; Amylocorticiaceae.
CCAUUUGACCUCAAAUCAGGUAGGACUACCCGCUGAACUUAAGCAUAUCAAUAAGCGGAGGAAAAGAAACUAACAAGGAUUCCCCUAGUAACUGCGAGUGAAGCGGGAAAAGCUCAAAUUUAAAAUCUGGUAGUCUCUGGCUGCCCGAGUUGUAAUCUGGAGAAGUGUUUUCUGUGCUGGGCCGUGUACAAGUCUCUUGGAAUAGAGCGUCAUAGAGGGUGAGAAUCCCGUCUUUGACACGGACAUCCAGUGCUCUGUGAUGCACUCUCAAAGAGUCGAGUUGUUUGGGAAUGCAGCUCAAAAUGGGUGGUAAAUUCCAUCUAAAGCUAAAUAUUGGCAAGAGACCGAUAGCGAACAAGUACCGUGAGGGAAAGAUGAAAAGAACUUUGGAAAGAGAGUUAAACAGUACGUGAAAUUGUUGAAAGGGAAACGCUUGAAGUCAGUCGCGUCUAGCAAGGAUCAGCCUUUCUCGGAAGGUGUAUUUCUUGCUUGACGGGUCAACAUCAAUUUUGAYUACUGGAAAAAGGCCAGAGGAAGGUGGCACCUUCGGGUGUGUUAUAGCCUUUGGUCAUAUACAGUAGUUGGGAUUGAGGAAUUCAGCAUGCCUUCAUGGCUGGGGUUCGCCCACAUUCAUGCUUAGGAUGUUGGCAUAAUGGC